GACGAACCGGACAAACGUUAUUCGGAAUUACUGGGCUUAAAGGGUUUGUAGGCGGCCUUGUAAGUCAGGUGUGAAAUCCCUCGGCUCAACCGAGGAAUGGCGCUUGAUACUGCACGGCUUGAGGGAGACAGGGGUAAGCGGAACUGAUGGUGGAGCGGUGAAAUGCGUUGAUAUCAUCAGGAACACCAGUGGCGAAAGCGGCUUACUGGGCCUCAUCUGACGCUGAGGAACGAAAGCUAGGGGAGCGAACGGG
RNAcentral lists this ribosomal RNA (253 nucleotides) under uncultured bacterium. Its description in RNAcentral is "partial 16S ribosomal RNA". It matches the Rfam family "Bacterial small subunit ribosomal RNA", at positions 524 to 776 of the family's 1533-position model. The record is from RNAcentral.